UACGGGGGGGGCAAGCGUUGUUCGGAAUUACUGGGCGUAAAGGGCUCGUAGGUGGCCAACUAAGUCAGACGUGAAAUCCCUCGGCUUAACCGGGGAACUGCGUCUGAUACUGGAUGGCUUGAGUUCGGGAGAGGGAUGCAGAAUUCCAGGUGUAGCGGUGAAAUGCGUAGAUAUCUGGAGGAAUACCGGUGGCGAAGGCGGCAUCCUGGACCGAGAUUGACACUGAUGAGCGAAAGCUAGGGGAGCAAACGGG
Molecule: ribosomal RNA, 253 nt
Filed under: uncultured bacterium
Lineage: Bacteria
Description: partial 16S ribosomal RNA
Rfam family: Bacterial small subunit ribosomal RNA
Source: RNAcentral